Molecule: transfer RNA, 72 nt
Filed under: Candidatus Nocardiopsis merdipullorum
Lineage: Bacteria; Bacillati; Actinomycetota; Actinomycetes; Streptosporangiales; Nocardiopsidaceae
Description: tRNA-Asn
Rfam family: tRNA
About the family: Transfer RNA (tRNA) molecules are approximately 80 nucleotides in length. Their secondary structure includes four short double-helical elements and three loops (D, anti-codon, and T loops).
Source: RNAcentral
UCCCGCGUAGCUCAACGGCAGAGCGGCCGGCUGUUAACCGGCAGGUUAUUGGUUCGAGUCCAAUCGCGGGAG